UACGGAGGGGGUUAGCGUUGUUCGUAAUGACUGGGCGUAAAGCGCGCGUAGGCGGAUCAGGAAGUUGGGGGUGAAAUCCCGGGGCUCAACCCCGGAAUGGCCUUCAAAACUCCUGGUCUUGAGUUCGAGAGAGGUGAGUGGAAUUCCGAGUGUAGAGGUGAAAUUCGUAGAUAUUCGCAAGAACACCAGUGGCGAAGGCGGCUCACUGGCCCGAUACUGACGCUGAGGUGCGAAAGCGUGGGGAGCAAACAGG
RNAcentral lists this ribosomal RNA (253 nucleotides) under uncultured bacterium. Its description in RNAcentral is "partial 16S ribosomal RNA". It matches the Rfam family "Bacterial small subunit ribosomal RNA", at positions 524 to 776 of the family's 1533-position model. The record is from RNAcentral.